AUUGAACGCUGGCGGCAGGCCUAACACAUGCAAGUCGAGCGGAGCGGCGGACGGGUGAGUAAUGCCUAGGAAUCUGCCUGGUAGUGGGGGAUAACUUCCGGAAACGGGCGCUAAUACCGCAUACUAUCAGAUGAGCCUUGGUGGGAUUAGCUAGUUGGUGGGGUAAAGGACUACCAAGUCUACGAUCCGUAACUGGUCUGAGAGGAUGAUCAGUCACACUGGAACUGAGACACGGUCCAGACUCCUACGGGAGGCAGCAGUGGGGAAUAUUGGACAAUGGGCGAAAGCCUGAUCCAGCCAUGCCGCUUGUGUGAAGAAGGUCUUCGGAUUGUAAAGCACUUUAAGUUGGGAGGCGUUACCAACAGAAUAAGCACCGGCUAAAGAAGGGACAGCAGCCGCGGUAAUUC
RNAcentral lists this ribosomal RNA (407 nucleotides) under uncultured bacterium. Its description in RNAcentral is "partial 16S ribosomal RNA". It matches the Rfam family "Bacterial small subunit ribosomal RNA", at positions 30 to 526 of the family's 1533-position model. The record is from RNAcentral.